This 468-nucleotide ribosomal RNA is filed under the name uncultured bacterium. Its description in RNAcentral is "partial 16S ribosomal RNA". It matches the Rfam family "Bacterial small subunit ribosomal RNA", at positions 28 to 507 of the family's 1533-position model. The record is from RNAcentral.
GACGAACGCUGGCGGCGUGCUUAACACAUGCAAGUCGAACGGAAAGGCCCUGCUUUUGUGGGGUGCUCGAGUGGCGAACGGGUGAGUAACACGUGAGUAACCUGCCCUUGACUUUGGGAUAACUUCAGGAAACUGGGGCUAAUACCGGAUAGGAGCUCCUGCUGCAUGGUGGGGGUUGGAAAGUUUCGGCGGUUGGGGAUGGACUCGCGGCUUAUCAGCUUGUUGGUGGGGUAGUGGCUUACCAAGGCUUUGACGGGUAGGCGGCCUGAGAGGGUGACCGGCCACAUUGGGACUGAGGUACGGCCCAGACUCCUACGGGAGGCAGCAGUGGGGAAUAUUGCACAAUGGGCGGAAGCCUGAUGCAGCAACGCCGCGUGCGGGAUGACGGCCUUCGGGUUGUAAACCGCUUUCGCCUGUGACGAAGCGUGAGUGACGGUAAUGGGUAAAGAAGCACCGGCUAACUACGUG